Molecule: ribosomal RNA, 434 nt
Filed under: uncultured bacterium
Lineage: Bacteria
Description: partial 16S ribosomal RNA
Rfam family: Bacterial small subunit ribosomal RNA
Source: RNAcentral
AGCGAACGCUGGCGGCAGGCCUAACACAUGCAAGUCGAACGAACCUUUCGGGGUUAGUGGCGGACGGGUGAGUAACACGUGGGAACGUGCCUUUAGGUUCGGAAUAACUCAGGGAAACUUGUGCUAAUACCGAAUGUGCCCUUCGGGGGAAAGAUUUAUCGCCUUUAGAGAGGCCCGCGUCUGAUUAGCUAGUUGGUUGAGGUAAUGGCUCACCAAGGCGACGAUCAGUAGCUGGUCUGAGAGGAUGAUCAGCCACAUUGGGACUGAGACACGGCCCAAACUCCUACGGGAGGCAGCAGUGGGGAAUCUUGCGCAAUGGGCGAAAGCCUGACGCAGCCAUGCCGCGUGAAUGAUGAAGGUCUUAGGAUUGUAAAAUUCUUUCACCGGGGACGAUAAUGACGGUACCCAGAGAAGAAGCCCCGGCUAACUUCGUG